CUUUACUGUAGCUUUGCAUUGGACUUUGAACCGGUUUGUGUAGGAUAGGUGGGAGACUGUGAAACCGGGACGCCAGUUUCGGUGGAGUCAACCUUGAAAUACCACCCUGAUUUGUUUGAGGUUCUAACCUUGGUCCGUGAAUCCGGAUCGGGGACCGUGCAUGGUAGGCAGUUUGACUGGGGCGGUCUCCUCCCAAAAGGUAACGGAGGAGUACGAAGGUACGCUUAGGGCGGUCGGACAUCGCCCAUAAAGUGCAAUGGCAAAAGCGUGCUUGACUGCGAGACCCACAAGUCGAGCAGGUACGAAAGUAGGUCAUAGUGAUCCGGUGGUUCUGUAUGGAAGGGCCAUCGCUCAACGGAUAAAAGGUA
RNAcentral lists this ribosomal RNA (368 nucleotides) under uncultured organism. RNAcentral's name for it is "bacterial LSU rRNA". It matches the Rfam family "Bacterial large subunit ribosomal RNA", at positions 2099 to 2465 of the family's 2925-position model. The record is from RNAcentral.